This 2297-nucleotide long non-coding RNA is filed under the name Pan troglodytes (chimpanzee). RNAcentral's name for it is "long non-coding RNA NONPTRT009035". The record is from RNAcentral. Lineage: Eukaryota; Metazoa; Chordata; Mammalia; Primates; Hominidae.
UGAGGAUUCUUGCCUUCCUAAUUUUGGUUGUGUGUCCCACAGUCCCGGGGAUCAGGAGGGGUUAACAGAAGACCAAGGGUCAGGUUUUCUGCACUGCGGGGAGCCACCCCAGAUCUGUAGUCCAGGCUCAUGCGCGGGUGAGGGGGUAGCUUCCAAGCCCCAAAGGUCGGAGAGCAAAGGUGUGGCCAGUUGUGGAGGGAGGGGGAGCCUCAGGUUGUUUGCAGUGCUGGGGAGAUAAGAAUAUUCAGGAAUCAGAUGGUGGUGAUGGUUGCACAGCUCUGUGAAUAUACUGCAGCCCACUGAGCACUACACUGUAAAGGGGUGACUAUUAUGGUGUGAGGAUUAUAUCCCAAUUUUUAAAAGAUGUGAAAAAAUUAAUGUUUAUUUAUACGAUAUAUAAGACAUUGAUUUUUAAAUACAGCGGUACCAUCCCCGUCCCCCAUAACCCUGGUUCCUCCAGGCACUUGGAGCCAUUUGUGGAAGGACGUGGACUCCUAGAAGGUGAUUCGCAAAGGUGCCACGUAAGCAGAGGAGCCAGGGGAAGCUGCCUGGACAUGCAUGCGCCUUGCAGUUCUGUCCUGCCAGGCUGCCUGCUCUUCCUCUUGAAAGCAAAAGCCUUCACUUGCUGAGGAUGCAACGAUGCCCUAGUGUCCCUUGCAGGAGCCAGUGUCAGAGCCAGGAGCUGUCGUGGGCAUCCCCUGCUCCAAAGUUACGAGUUCUGGUGAAGGGGUCAGGACAGCCCCUUUGAGAGUUCAGCAGAGCAGGUCUGCACCGGACCCACGCCACGCACAGCCCACACUCCACCUGCCCUGGUGCACACUGGCGGCAGCAGCCAGCCGCGGGGACCCCAGGCGCAGUGUUGCCGCGUGAACGUUAGAGCAGCCUCCAGAGGCGGGUUCGGUCUGCACACCUGGUUCGCGGGUGACGCGGUUGUGACUUGGCCCAGGUCAGUUGUUGGGGCCUGGCCAGCUGUGGGUGGUGAGGUUUUCUCGGACGCUUCAUCUGUUCUCGUUCUUGUUCGAAUUCCUUCUGCCUAAGAAUGACAGCUUUAAAAGCGAAAUGGCAGCACGUCUCCGUCAUUACACAGAAUCCCACGUGGGAAGACCCUAGUCGGAGGCCCCCACCCUUGCCCGGAGCUGGACUUUGGGGCAGCAGCAAACUGCAGUGAGUGUGAGUCACACCUGAGGACAGGUGGGCUGUCUUCAGGCUCCCAACAGGUCUGUCGCUUAAGGGGCUGGGGAAUGGGGGCUGGAAUGCCACGGCCUGCCCACCUGGGGGACUCUGGGCAGAGCUGGAGCAGCCAGGCAGGAAAAUAUCCCCCAGUUUCCAGAGAGUAAAAGCUGAUGGUCCUACUGAGGUGUGAAGGACAGUGACGGACAGUGAUGGAAGGUGAUGGACAGAGGAGGACAGUGAUGGACAGAGGAGGACAGUGAUGGACAGAGGAGGGCAGUGAUGGACAGUGACGGGCAGUGAUAGACAGCAACAGAGAGUGGAGGACAGUGAUGAACAGCAACAGACAGUGGAGGGCAGUGAUGGACAGUGGAGGACAUUGGAGGAUAGCAGAGGACAGUGAGGGACAGCAGAGGACAGUGAUGGACAGCGGAGGACAGUGAUGGACAGCAGAGGACAGUGAUGGACUGCGGAGGACAGCGAUGGACAGCGGAGGACGGCGAUGGACAGCGGAGGACGGCGAUGGAGAGCGGAGGACGGCGAUGGAGAGCGGAGGACGGCGAUGGAGAGCGGAGGACGGCGAUGGAGAGCGGAGGACGGCGAUGGACAGCGGAGGACGGUGAUGGACAGUGGAGGACGGUGAUGGACAGAGGAGGACGGUGUGGACAGCGGAGGACGGUGAUGGACAGCGGAGGAUGGUGAAGGACAGAGAAGGACAGCAAUGGAAGGACAGGCACCCCAGUCAGCACAAACACAGGCCGAGUGGGGCCCAUGCAUUUCUGGGAGGACUGGCAAGCUGGGAAAGGCCUCCAGGGCAGGGAAACUCAGGAGAGUGACAGCUUGUUCAGGCCAGGACCUUGUGCAUCUUCUCCUUUUUUCUUUCUUAGUAAACCCAGUGUAUUCAUUUCUAGUGGCUGCCAUAUAAAUUCCCAUAAACUAGCGUCUUGAAGCCAUGGAAGUUUGUUAUGUCCCAGUUCUGGAGGCUAGACAUCUAACAUCCAGGUAUGGGCAGGGUUGCCCUGCCUUCGAAGCUCUGGGGAGGGUCCUUCCUGCCCCUCCCAGCUCCCGUGGCUCCCAGCGUCCUUAGCCUGUGGCCGUUAUUGCUCUGGUCUUUGCCUCCACCUUUG